GACGUAGGGAGCAAGCGUUGUCCGGAAUUACUGGGCGUAAAGAGCUCGUAGGCGGGACCGUAAGUCUAAGACGAAAUCUCAAGGCUCAACUUUGGGGCUUUCUUGGAUACUGCGGUUCUUGAGGAUAUCAGGGGACAGUAGAAUUCUCGGUGUAGCGGUGAAAUGCGUAGAUAUCGGGAGGAAUACCAGUGGCGAAGGCGACUGUCUGGGAUGUUCCUGACGCUGAGGAGCGAAAGCGUGGGUAGCAAACGGG
This 253-nucleotide ribosomal RNA is filed under the name uncultured bacterium. Its description in RNAcentral is "partial 16S ribosomal RNA". It matches the Rfam family "Bacterial small subunit ribosomal RNA", at positions 524 to 776 of the family's 1533-position model. The record is from RNAcentral.